RNAcentral lists this ribosomal RNA (557 nucleotides) under Monascus ruber. Its description in RNAcentral is "LSU rRNA". It matches the Rfam family "Eukaryotic large subunit ribosomal RNA", at positions 38 to 599 of the family's 3401-position model. Lineage: Eukaryota; Fungi; Ascomycota; Eurotiomycetes; Eurotiales; Aspergillaceae. The record is from RNAcentral.
GCAUAUCAAUAAGCGGAGGAAAAGAAACCAACCGGGAUUGCCUCAGUAACGGCGAGUGAAGCGGCAAGAGCUCAAAUUUGAAAGCUGGCCCCUCCGGGGUCCGCAUUGUAAUUUGCAGAGGAUGCUUCGGGCUCAGCCCCCGUCUAAGUGCCCUGGAACGGGCCGUCGGAGAGGGUGAGAAUCCCGUCUGGGACGGGGUGCCUGGGUCCAUGUGAAGCUCCUUCGACGAGUCGAGUUGUUUGGGAAUGCAGCUCUAAAUGGGUGGUAAAUUUCAUCUAAAGCUAAAUACUGGCCGGAGACCGAUAGCGCACAAGUAGAGUGAUCGAAAGAUGAAAAGCACUUUGAAAAGAGAGUUAAACAGCACGUGAAAUUGUUGAAAGGGAAGCGCUUGCGAUCAGACUCGCCUGCGGGGUUCAGCCGGCAUUCGUGCCGGUGUACUUCCCCGUGGGCGGGCCAGCGUCGGUUCGGGUGGCCGGUCAAAGGCCCCGGGAAUGUGUCGCCCUCCGGGGCGUCUUAUAGCCCGGGGUGCCAUGCGGCCUACCUGGACCGAGGAACGC